AUAUUGAUCAAGCAACCCUACACUAAUACAAAUGCUGAUUCUGAGCAACGAUUGAGAUAGAAUUGUUGCACAUCAGAAGCCAUAGAGAAAGUACGGGAUAACGAAAUUGCUCCAGUUUCCACCAUGAAAGAAUAUCCAACUCUUUUUCUAUCGAGUCUCUUUUCUCAAAUAUAAAUAAUUCAUUUUUUUCCUAAGUUUGGACCAUCUUGAGGAUUAAAAAACCAUGACAAAUGAGUUCUAAGGUAUAUACUGAGGGAAAGAGAAAGUUGGUUCUUUGUAGGGGUUUAAUCCAGUAUCCUAAAUGGCAUCAUUAUCACCAACUCUAUACACACAAAGACGAAAAGGAAUCCUCCAAAAAGUGUUUAAACAACACCAAAAGCACUUGUUAAAUCUGUUGACAUAAAAGGAACGAGAAAAUGCUUAGAAUUUAAAUUCCUAAAAGUCUAAAAUAUAGCAGAAAAAUGAACCAACAAGCACCAAACGGUAAUUGCAUUCAAACUAAUGUUCUAUAACUAACAAGCACUAAAUUCAAAUUUAUGAACUUUUAAUUCCAAAUUUCCAAACCGUGCCUUAAAUUCAAACUGGAAAGAAAGGAAAAAAAAAGCACAAAGGAUUCGUUCGGUGUCUAGGAUUAAAUAUUUCACUAUAUUCAAUAUAUUUUGAAGGCAGAUACUGAAAAAUUGUGUCCAACCAAAAAGUAGAAGAAAGAUCCAAUCCCCCCAAAUGAUAGGACGAGGAGGGUCAAGUUCCCUUCAUGUCUAAUCUUCCACUUCUAAUCCCCUAAAAAUGAAAAAGCAUGCACCAUUACCUUCAAUAUACCUUGAAUUUUAUGACUUAUCCAUUCCAAUUCAAUCCUAGACACCAAACAAUCCCAAAAGGUCUUACAACUUGGAACAUAGAGCUAUGUUAAAGACUUUCAUAAACUAAACGAAUCAUGCACAUAACUGCUGCUAGAAAUACAGUAAAACAUGCACUUGAUUUCCUCAAGUUUCAGUAUACUAAAACAAAAGAGCCUCGUUCAUGUAUGGAUUGGCUUUGAAAACUUAGUCAUACAGAAAUACUCAUACUAUCCAAUACUGAUACAAACAUGCAAAAAGUAACUAAAAAUGCAAAAAGUAAGCUCCUAUGAAAGAUCUAAUGUAUCAAAUGAGUCAAGAGUCUGACAAAUCUGAAAUCCACUAGUCAUAACUGUCAUAUGUAGAAAAUUGGAAUAUAAGCAGAAUAACUACUUCCCCAAUAGCUUAUAGUCAACUUACUGCUUAGAAUUUGUGUCUCAUAACUUCCACAUUUAGGAAGUGGAAUAUGAGCAGAAUAACUACUUUCCCACUAGCUUAUAGUCAAAUUACCACGAAGAAUUUAUAAAAGCACUCCGACCCACCUUUACUUCCAACCCCAUCUCUUCUCCACUUUUUGUAACCUUCAAAAGCUGGAUACAUAAAAAGGGGAAAACUCCGGAACAACUUGAUCUUGUGAAAUAAAUAUAAGCCACAUAUUCUCAAAUCUAGAGAAUAGGGUCACUGUUAUACAUCCAUAAUCAUACAUGAUUGGGAUGGUGAUCAGAGUAACACAAAAAAAAAAAGAACGGAAGACUCACUCCUAGAGAGAGUAUGUUUAUUCCAAGGGUUAGACAACAUGAACCUAGAACACUGCAGAUGGUGAUUUUAGCCACUACACAUAAUAAAACCUAGUAUGUCGUGGCAUUGGUGCUUAUGCACCUCGUAAAUCUCUCACCUAUAACAAAUAUCAUAACGUCUAGGAUAUCAAACACUAUCCUAGAGAUGUCAUUAAGACACCUCCUACAACCAUCUGAUGACAUACGGGUGAUAUCACCCAUAUCACUAUAUGGUAUAUAUGAUACAUACCAAAAAACCAAUAAUUAUGAGUAUCAACCAUUGCAGCGGCAUUUAUGUGUGUUAUACACUAUGGUUUAGCAUUAUUAGAUAUGCAUCCACAAUUCACAUCUGUAUAUUUCCAAAGUUCUUCAGGUAUGCAUUAUAGACUUUAACUAGUUCAAAGAAGGUGAUUUAUAAGAUUGUUGAGGCUUGAUGGAAAUGAAUGGAGGUCUACCAGGACUGUUACAUGAAGAUAUCUUUUUAAUAGAGAGUAAGCGUUCAACUUUUAUGUCAUGUUAGAUCAACCACAAAUGGGAAAGUCAUACCCACAAAUUGGACCUAGUAAAUAAGAAGAUGCAUACCAAAGAUUAUAGAAAUUCCAGAUUUAGAGAGAGACAGCAUACAAAGUAAAAAGCUUGUAUUCAGAUUAAUGGGUUUUUCUAAGACAAUACAAAUCAGAAGAUUCGAAUCAAAAUUCGUAAAAAGUCCAAAUUUUGAUUUCUGGGUUUUCAAUCUCCACUCAAAAUUAAAAAAACCCCAGAGUUGAAUCUCUUCCUACCAACCCAAACAGAUUCCAAGAAAUCAACAUAAGGGUCUAAAUCAAUACUCUGUACACUAAAUCAAUAACAAAACCCAUGAACAAAACGCAAAACCCAUUAUCCAAAACAAACCAAAAAAUCUAAUUUGCAGAAACGAAAAGUAAUCGAAAUGAAAGAAGAGGUGGAAGGAAAUCGGAGCUUACCAGAGAGAGUGGUGGAGUUCAGUAAAGUUUUUGAGAAAAGAAAAUGAGGGAGAUAACCGGAGCUAGAAGGAAGGAGCACAGGCUGCACAGCAAUCUCAGUCUCAGAGAGCAAUGGCGUGUGAGGGCAGCAAGAGAGGUGAGGAACGUGAGGGCUGACGGCUGAGGNN
Molecule: long non-coding RNA, 2741 nt
Filed under: Malus domestica (apple)
Lineage: Eukaryota; Viridiplantae; Streptophyta; Magnoliopsida; Rosales; Rosaceae
Description: long non-coding RNA (MDOM_LNC017496)
Source: RNAcentral